Siniperca chuatsi (mandarin fish) is the source of this 2197-nucleotide long non-coding RNA. RefSeq lists it as uncharacterized. Lineage: Eukaryota; Metazoa; Chordata; Actinopteri; Centrarchiformes; Sinipercidae. The transcript has 2 exons. The record is from RefSeq and is a predicted model, not a curated record.
UUCUGCUACUGUCUCCAUACUGCGCUGAGAGUCAUAUUAACUGCUGCUUGUAUUGAUAGCCCUAUUCCAGACGGACAUUAGUGAUACCUCUUUCUCAAAGUCCGCCAUUAGCUUCUACAGUUGAAUUACUACCUCUGUUGCCUGCAGCUCGCACUUUUACCACUGUUACUGCUCCUAAAAUGACCAUUUUCAGUUUCACUGUUGCAUUGGCACAGCUGCUUCUGUCACAGUAGUGGGCCUAUUGUUUUUACAACUACCAGCACUACUUGUGUCUGCAACUAACUCUAAUAGGACUGGUAUUAUUACACAUCUUUCCACAACUAUUAGUACUAGCCACCACAAGCACCACUAGCAGUACAGCUUCUGUCUUCUGAGUAUGCUAUCGACUAAACAAAAAUAUGCAAAAUGGGAGAUACAUCACUGGGCAAAGUGAUUGAGCAAAAAUAACAAAACAGCCCUGAAGUGUGUGCUUAUGUUAGGUGUGUGUGAGGGUGUGAACGUAAGGCUUUCCAUUCUUUGUAAUAAAAGAAAGGAAAACAAAGAGGGCUAACAGCACAACAUAGUCAAAUGCGUGCCUGUGGGGGGAAAGAGUGGCUGACAUUGCCUGGAUUUUACAGAUUGGAACCAUGGAGCCUACAAUGUGUGUUUCCAGUUGGCGCUGAUGACCCACCUGUACAACAGAGUGUGCAGGAUCUAGUAAAAUUGUGGUGUUGCAGCUGGAGUGCAUCGCUGCUGGUCCCCCUGCUGAACAAGUCCCUCUCUGUCCAGCAGGGAACAUUCCUCUGCCUGGUCUGGGAGACGCAUUGGCAUCCCCAGAAACUGCACCAUCCUCUUCCUCAUCAGGACUCUGUCUACAGCACCAUCAUCCCUGUCACCAACCUCAUCGGUGACUCCUACAAGGUCAAGAAAGAGAAAGGAGCACCCGACACCUGUACAGGAGGCAAUAUUGGAGAGAUUGAACAGACUGGACAGAGACAGAGAGGAAGAGAAUGAAGAGGCACUAUUUGGUCGGAUGGUAGCGGGGAUGCUGAUGAAGCUACCAGAACAAAAAAGGAUGGAUGCAAAAUUUUAAAUCCACCAUCAUGCUUUACCGCAUGCAAAAAGAAUGCUGCCAGGAGGAAGCAAACUAGACUUGUGGUCAGGGGUGUAGGACUGGGGGGUCAAAAGGGGACUGAGUAUGCAGGGCCCUCAUGUGAGGAGGGCCCACAAAAAUUCUAGAAUAAUACUAGAACCCCUGUUUGUGGUUCUAUACUGUGUGUUUUAUUGUUAAGACACAAGGCAUUGGCUGAAUUUAUUUCUUUUCCUUUUCAAAUCCAAGUUGUUUUUCAAUAUAGUGUGUAAAUAGGCCAAUAAUGAAAUCUCGCACACGAGGGCAGUGCUGAGCUGCUGAGGUCAGGUGAGGGGAAGUCUCAGGUUAAUGAAAUGAACAUUUAAUCAGGCUUCCAGGUUAUCCAGGUGGGGAAAGAUGCCGGCCUUGGUUAAGUUAGAUUCAGACCAGCAUGUGCUCUUUUGUGUGACAAAGUAGUUAUUCCAGCAGGGAAAAGAAAAGUGGAAGCUGCAUAUGAAAUAGGGUUUGCAUCAACGUUAGAUGACCUCAGAGACGCUGUAGGUACAUAUGAUUUCUUCCUUUGUAAACUGUCCGCGAUAGAGACUCACAUUUAUAGAACGUUUGAGGUGUACAUUCCUUGGCCUUUGGUUUUUGACGGCGCUGCAUUAAUUAUUUCACUUACUUAGCGUUUGGUGUGGUAACGUGUGGAUUAAGGGUGUCAUUAUAAGGUUUGAUAUGUGAUGGAACUGGUAUUAUAAUGGUGUUUAAUAGAUGUGAUAUUUGAUGGAGCUAGUUAAUGAUGUUAUGUUUCAUAAUGAUCAUUAUCAGUAUAAUAACUUGCAUGUAUGAAUUUCAGAAUAUUAGGGUCAGAAUUAUUAUUUCUUAGAGGUACUGAUAAUUUAUCUGAUUUAUUUGUAUGUGAUUAAUAAUAAUGACUAGUGGUAAAUGAUUGAUUUAUUUUGAUUUGUUUGGAAGUCACUAACGCUGAUAAAGUGAGACUAAGAGAAAAGUAAUCCAGCAUAAUAAUAAUGAUCUAAUAAUUUCUCUCUUUUUGUUGUUUUCCUAAAGGUUAACAACCUAAUGAACUCCAGAUAAACUGUCUUUGUAACUGCUGUGGACAUCGAAAAGACUAAUAAAUCCAAAAAAGGA